UUUUAUCUCAUUAAAAUCAAAGGCAACGUAUAUGAGGAAUCUGUAGACCGUGUACCUUCACUGUAUUUCCUCUCCACUGCAGCUAUAACAUCUGCUCAUUUUGAUAAUGUGUUCUCUUCUUUUUUAAAGAUCUCUUUGUUUAUGUAAUUAUGUGAGAGAGCUCUGGCAGGCUGGGGGAGCGGCGGAGGGAAAGAAUCUUGAGGCCGACUCCCCACCGCGUGCAGCACUCGGGCGGGACCCAUGAGAUCAUACCUUGAGCCCAAACCAAGAGUUUGACACUUAACUAAGUCACCAAGGCGCCCAGAGGAUGGAUUCUUUAAAGACAGAAAUAGAAAAGUUUAAAACAUAACCUUACAUUAGUUUUUUUUAAGAUUUAUUUUAGAGAAAGAAAGAGAGAGAGAGAGAGCAAGAGAGAGAGAACACAUGCACAGGGGAGGAGCGGAGGGAGAGGGCGAGAGAAUCCAAGCAGACUCCAUCAGGCAAGUGGUAACUUUCAUGCCUUGUUGUUGGGGACAGAAAUCAACCACUUUGGAAGGCCGUCUGGCGUGUAAUUUCUCUUGUGCACACAGCCCGACCCAGCAUUUAAAUUUUUAGUUAAAUUCCAGUGUAAGUGGCAAAGUUGUAUAAAGAAAGAUAUAUAAGGAUAUUUUUUUGCAAGCGGGAUGGUGGCUCGCUUGAGGCCUGCAGCAGGUGCCCUUGUCUUUGGCUGGACAUUGAUGGACACGCGGUUGAGAGAAAGCCACUCCUCUUUCAUUUUUUGAUUUUAGCGAUUUGUAUCGUCUGUCUUCUUCAUCUUCUGUUAGCCUGGCUAAAAGUUUAUUGGGUUUUAUUGAUCUUUCCAAAGACCCAGUUUUUGCUUUCAUUUAUUUUCUCUAAUGAUUUCCUGUUUUCAAUUUCAUUGAUUUCUGCUUGGACGAGAGCUGAUUGGAGUUGGGUAGUUCCGUUCCCUUGGUUAGACUGGGCUCUGACAGCGCUGCAGCCGGUGAGGUGCGAGGGCAGGCUCUGUCAACAAUGGAGUGUUCUAGAAUAUUUAAAAAUGGUUCCUUUCUCCCAUUUCUGCGGGAAGCACAAGGGGAUUUUUCUCUGGUAUUUAGUGUGAGAGCCUGGACGGUCUGGAGAGACGACUGUAUUUUAUUGCAAGUGAAAAAGCCUUCAGCAGCGGUCUGUGUUCUGCAAUUAAGACCAGGGCAGGCGACUCUUGCAGGAAGGCUGAGCCAGCAGCAGCGAGGAGCCGUUUCGGGAACCUCCUAGAGGGUCUGCGGCCAUAGAACAUGAAGGGAUGCCUCCUACGGAUCCUUAAACUUUAGCUGGAAAUGUAGACGGAAAUACCAGACUUUAUUACAGCAGGUUGAAGACGUGGGACUGAUUCUGCCCGACGUCGUGCUCAUGGAGGUAGUGGCCGCAGGACCCUGAAAUGAAAGCCCCAACCCUCGGUGCUGCUUCCCCUUCUCCCGGCUCAGACCCAGCUCCGGCGGUGAUCCCUCGGCCCGGGGGCUCCGAGUAGUGCUGCGGCAUGGCAUGUGGGUGACUGCGUGGCAGGGUGGCAGCCAGCCGAGUGCCUGCCUGCACUGAUGCCCCUGGCACCCCAGGUCGCUGCUCCCCCGGUUCUCAGCGGGCCCCGACCUCAGGUUCUCGCUCCUGUGCAAUGCCUUGUGCCUCAGUGCGGGUACUCGCCGGCCACUCAACCAGUCCUGAGAGUGAACUACCUGCCAAUACCGGAUUCUCCCAGUGUUUACUGUUAGGCCAAGAAGGGAUGCUGCAUAUUUAAUGGAGCAAUUCAUAGCAGGCACAAAAUGAAGAUAGAAUAUUGAGCUUUCUUCCAGAAGUAAAAAUACCUUGAAGAAUAAUUCUGACUCACAAAGAAAUCAGACAUUCAAAAUCAUAUCACGAUUGUCUCCAGAGUGAGUGCCUUAAAAAACCAUCUAGUCAAAAGCUUAAAGCAAUUACACACAGAUGUGAAAUCCAACGACCUCUAAUUAGCCUCACUUCAAGCCGUGCCCUUGACAAAGAGCCCCAUCUACUCAGGAAAAGAAUGAUGGGGUAAGCAGCUGCUCAGUAAGUAUUUGUUGAAUGAGUCAUUUUAAUACCUGUGUCAUUUCUCAACACUGAACACAGUUUGAUUCUAUUCUGCUGAAUGUUACAUUGUGGAGAUGGAUCUUUUUUUUUU
Molecule: long non-coding RNA, 2167 nt
Organism: Canis lupus familiaris (dog)
Lineage: Eukaryota; Metazoa; Chordata; Mammalia; Carnivora; Canidae
Exons: 5
Source: RefSeq, a predicted model, not a curated record